RNAcentral lists this ribosomal RNA (274 nucleotides) under uncultured bacterium. RNAcentral describes it as "partial 16S ribosomal RNA". It matches the Rfam family "Bacterial small subunit ribosomal RNA", at positions 334 to 604 of the family's 1533-position model. The record is from RNAcentral.
UGUUCCUACGGGGGGCAGCAGUGAGGAAUAUUGGUCAAUGGGCGGGAGCCUGAACCAGCCAAGUCGCGUGAGGGAAGACGGUCCUACGGAUUGUAAACCUCUUUUGCCGGGGAGCAACGGGGUCCUUGCGAGGUCCCAAUGAGAGUACCCGGAGAAAAAGCAUCGGCUAACUCCGUGCCAGCAGCCGCGGUAAUACGGAGGAUGCGAGCGUUAUCCGGAUUUAUUGGGCGUAAAGCGAGUGCAGGCGGUUCAAUAAGUCUGUUGUGAAAGCCUU